AGAGUUUGAUCCUGGCUCAGGACGAACGCUGGCGGCGCGCCUAACACAUGCAAGUCGAACGAGAGAGAAGGAGCUUGCUUCUUCGAUCGAGUGGCGAACGGGUGAGUAACGCGUGAGGAACCUGCCUCAAAGGAGGGGGGACAACAGUUGGAAACGACUGCUAAUACCGCAUAAGCCCACGGGUCGGCAUCGACCUGAGGGAAAAGGAGCAAUCCGCUUUGAGAUGGCCUCGCGUCCGAUUAGCUAGUUGGU
This 252-nucleotide ribosomal RNA is filed under the name uncultured bacterium. RNAcentral describes it as "partial 16S ribosomal RNA". It matches the Rfam family "Bacterial small subunit ribosomal RNA", at positions 8 to 253 of the family's 1533-position model. The record is from RNAcentral.